RNAcentral lists this ribosomal RNA (450 nucleotides) under uncultured bacterium. RNAcentral describes it as "bacterial SSU rRNA". It matches the Rfam family "Bacterial small subunit ribosomal RNA", at positions 355 to 825 of the family's 1533-position model. The record is from RNAcentral.
UUAGGAAUUUUGCGCAAUGGGCGAAAGCCUGACGCAGCAACACCGCGUGAGUGAUGAAGGCCUUCGGGUUGUAAAACUCUUUUAAUCGGGAAAAAAUAAAUGAUGGUACCGAUAGAAACAGCACCGGCUAACUCUGUGCCAGCAGCCGCGGUAAUACAGAGGGACCAAGCGUUGUUCGGAUUUACUGGGCGUAAAGGGCGCGUAGGCGGUUUGUCAAGUCAGUUGUGAAAUCUCCGAGCUUAACUCGGAACGGUCAACUGAUACUGUCAAACUAGAGUACAGAAGGGGCAAUCGGAAUUCUUGGUGUAGCGGUGAAAUGCGUAGAUAUCAAGAGGAACACCUGAGGCGAAGGCGGGUUGCUGGGCUGAUACUGACGCUGAAGCGCGAAAGCUAGGGUAGCAAACGGGAUUAGAUACCCAAGUAGUCCCUGAGCGGGCUGGCAAGGCGCAU